RNAcentral lists this ribosomal RNA (423 nucleotides) under uncultured bacterium. Its description in RNAcentral is "bacterial SSU rRNA". It matches the Rfam family "Bacterial small subunit ribosomal RNA", at positions 207 to 622 of the family's 1533-position model. The record is from RNAcentral.
AAGACCUUGCGCUUUUGGAGCGGCCGAUGCCUGAUUAGCUUGUUGGUAAGGUAAAAGCUUACCAAGGCUUCGAUCAGUAGCUGGUCUGAGAGGACGACCAGCCACACUGGGACUGAGACACGGCCCAGACUCCUACGGGAGGCAGCAGUGGGGAAUUUUGGACAAUGGGCGCAAGCCUGAUCCAGCCAUGCCGCGUGAGUGAAGAAGGCCUUCGGGUUGUAAGGCUCUUUCAGCCGGAACGAAACGGUUACGAUUAAUACCUGUAACUACUGACGGUACCGGAAGAAGAAGCACCGGCUAACUACGUGCCAGCAGCCGCGGUAAUACGUAGGGUGCGAGCGUUAAUCGGAAUUACUGGGCGUAAAGCGUGCGCAGGUGGUUUUGUAAGUCAGAUGUGAAAGCCCCGGGCUCAACCUGGGAACU